Molecule: ribosomal RNA, 490 nt
Filed under: uncultured bacterium
Lineage: Bacteria
Description: partial 16S ribosomal RNA
Rfam family: Bacterial small subunit ribosomal RNA
Source: RNAcentral
AUUGAACGCUGGCGGCAGGCCUAACACAUGCAAGUCGAACGGUAACAGGAAGAAGCUUGCUUCUUUGCUGACGAGUGGCGGACGGGUGAGUAAUGUCUGUGAAACUGCCUGAUGGAGGGGGAUAACUACUGGAAACGGUAGCUAAUACCGCAUAACGUCGCAAGACCAAAGAGGGGGACCUUCGGGCCUCUUGCCAUCGGAUGUGCCCAGAUGGGAUUAGCUAGUAGGUGGGGUAACGGCUCACCUAGGCGACGAUCCCUAGCUGGUCUGAGAGGAUGACCAGCCACACUGGAACUGAGACACGGUCCAGACUCCUACGGGAGGCAGCAGUGGGGAAUAUUGCACAAUGGGCGCAAGCCUGAUGCAGCCAUGCCGCGUGUAUGAAGAAGGCCUUCGGGUUGUAAAGUACUUUCAGCGGGGAGGAAGGGAGUAAAGUUAAUACCUUUGCUCAUUGACGUUACCCGCAGAAGAAGCACCGGCUAACUCCGUG